RNAcentral lists this ribosomal RNA (667 nucleotides) under uncultured fungus. RNAcentral's name for it is "eukaryotic LSU rRNA". The stretch from base 215 to 368 matches the Rfam family "5.8S ribosomal RNA". Lineage: Eukaryota; Fungi. The record is from RNAcentral.
UUAUCGUAACACAGGGGGUGCCGGGGCUGUCGCUGACCUUCAAGGUCAUGCACGCCUCGAGCAUUCUCACUUACAUCCAUCACACCUUUGUGCAUCACCGCGUGGGCUCCCUUUUGACUUAUAAAAGGGGGGCUUGCGUUCUCACACGUACACCCCUUUGUAAUGCAAAUAGCAUAGAAUGUUUUUACACUUGCGAUCACCCGCAAAUCAAUACAACUUUCAACAACGGAUCUCUUGGCUCUCGCAUCGAUGAAGAACGCAGCGAAAUGCGAUACGUAAUGUGAAUUGCAGAAUUCAGUGAAUCAUCGAAUCUUUGAACGCACCUUGCGCCCCUUGGCAUUCCGAGGGGCACACCCGUUUGAGUGUCGUGAAAUUCUCAACCUUCUCUGCUUCUUUUUUGAUCGGGGAAGGCUUGGACUUUGGAGGCUUCUGCCGGCUUCAACAGAAGCCAGCUCCUCUUAAAUGCAUUAGCGGGGGUUUUCUUUUGUCGAUCCUCGACGUGAUAAAGUUUUUCUACGUCUGGGGAUUGGCUUUAAGACCCGCUUCUAAUGGUCUCGUCGAGACUUUUGGUCGAGUUUUGCCCCUCAGUUGGGUGGGACUUUUUGGCCCAUAUGAACCCUUUGACCUCAAAUCGGGUGAGACUACCCGCUGAACUUAAGCAUAUCAA